Benincasa hispida (wax gourd) is the source of this 107-nucleotide small nucleolar RNA. The record is from RefSeq and is a predicted model, not a curated record. NCBI's taxonomy places the organism in Eukaryota, Viridiplantae, Streptophyta, Magnoliopsida, Cucurbitales, Cucurbitaceae.
AAGCCGUUAUGCGGGCAAUCUCUUACCAGUCUUUUAAACCUCGCCCAAGCGUCGUUGAGCAAUUCGUCAGUAUCUUGUUCAAAAUUUGUGAUCAACUUCCUGCUUCU